GACGAACGCUGGCGGCGUGCCUAACACAUGCAAGUUGAGCGCUGAAGGUUGGUCCUUGUACCAACUGGCUGAGCAGCGAACGGGUGAGUAACGCGUGGGGAAUCUGCCUUUGAGCGGGGGACAACAUUUGGAAACGAAUGCUAAUACCGCAUAAAAACUUUAAACACAAGUUUUAAGUUUGAAAGAUGCAAUUGCAUCACUCAAAGAUGAUCCCGCGUUGUAUUAGCUAGUUGGUGAGGUAAAGGCUCACCAAGGCGAUGAUACAUAGCCGACCUGAGAGGGUGAUCGGCCACAUUGGGACUGAGACACGGCCCAAACUCCUACGGGAGGCAGCAGUAGGGAAUCUUCGGCAAUGGACGAAAGUCUGACCGAGCAACGCCGCGUGAGUGAAGAAGGUUUUCGGAUCGUAAAACUCUGUUGGUAGAGAAGAACGUUGGUGAGAGUGGAAAGCUCAUCAAGUGACGGUAACUACCCAGAAAGGGACGGCUAACUACGUG
RNAcentral lists this ribosomal RNA (497 nucleotides) under uncultured bacterium. Its description in RNAcentral is "partial 16S ribosomal RNA". It matches the Rfam family "Bacterial small subunit ribosomal RNA", at positions 28 to 507 of the family's 1533-position model. The record is from RNAcentral.